RNAcentral lists this ribosomal RNA (253 nucleotides) under uncultured bacterium. RNAcentral describes it as "partial 16S ribosomal RNA". It matches the Rfam family "Bacterial small subunit ribosomal RNA", at positions 524 to 776 of the family's 1533-position model. The record is from RNAcentral.
UACAGAGGGGGCAAGCGUUAUUCGGAAUUAUUGGGCGUAAAGGGCGCGUAGGCGGCUAUGCAAGUGACGGGUGAAAUCCCUCGGCUUAACCGAGGAACUGCCUGUCAGACUGUGUGGCUUGAGACCGGGAGAGGUGAGUGGAAUUCCCAGUGUAGCGGUGAAAUGCGUAGAUAUUGGGAAGAACACCGGUGGCGAAGGCGGCUAUCUGGACCGACAUUGACGCUGAGGCGCGAAAGCGUGGGGAGCAAACAGG